CACGUAGGGGGCGAGCGUUGUCCGGAUUUAUUGGGCGUAAAGAGCUCGUAGGUGGUUUGUCGCGUUGUUCGUGAAAACUCACAACUCAAUUGUGGGCGUGCGGGCGAUACGGGCAGACUGGAGUACUGCAGGGGAGACUGGAAUUCCUGGUGUAGCGGUGGAAUGCGCAGAUAUCAGGAAGAACACCAACGGCGAAGGCAGCUCGCUGGGACGGAACUGACGCUGAGGCGCGAAAGCGUGGGGAGCGAACAGG
This 253-nucleotide ribosomal RNA is filed under the name uncultured bacterium. Its description in RNAcentral is "partial 16S ribosomal RNA". It matches the Rfam family "Bacterial small subunit ribosomal RNA", at positions 524 to 776 of the family's 1533-position model. The record is from RNAcentral.